This 265-nucleotide ribosomal RNA is filed under the name uncultured prokaryote. Its description in RNAcentral is "partial 16S ribosomal RNA". It matches the Rfam family "Bacterial small subunit ribosomal RNA", at positions 524 to 788 of the family's 1533-position model. The record is from RNAcentral.
UACGUAGGUGGCAAGCGUUAUCCGGAAUUAUUGGGCGUAAAGAGCGCGCAGGUGGUUGAUUAAGUCUGAUGUGAAAGCCAACGGCUUAACCGUGGAGGGUCAUUGGAAACUGGUCGACUUGAGUGCAGAAGAGGGAAGUGGAAUUCCAUGUGUAGCGGUGAAAUGCGUAGAGAUAUGGAGGAACACCAGUGGCGAAGGCGGCUUCCUGGUCUGUAACUGACACUGAGGCGCGAAAGCGUGGGGAGCAAACAGGAUUAGAUACCCU